RNAcentral lists this ribosomal RNA (561 nucleotides) under Saccharomyces cerevisiae (brewer's yeast). RNAcentral's name for it is "eukaryotic LSU rRNA". It matches the Rfam family "Eukaryotic large subunit ribosomal RNA", at positions 84 to 659 of the family's 3401-position model. The record is from RNAcentral. Lineage: Eukaryota; Fungi; Ascomycota; Saccharomycetes; Saccharomycetales; Saccharomycetaceae.
UAACGGCGAGUGAAGCGGCAAAAGCUCAAAUUUGAAAUCUGGUACCUUCGGUGCCCGAGUUGUAAUUUGGAGAGGGCAACUUUGGGGCCGUUCCUUGUCUAUGUUCCUUGGAACAGGACGUCAUAGAGGGUGAGAAUCCCGUGUGGCGAGGAGUGCGGUUCUUUGUAAAGUGCCUUCGAAGAGUCGAGUUGUUUGGGAAUGCAGCUCUAAGUGGGUGGUAAAUUCCAUCUAAAGCUAAAUAUUGGCGAGAGACCGAUAGCGAACAAGUACAGUGAUGGAAAGAUGAAAAGAACUUUGAAAAGAGAGUGAAAAAGUACGUGAAAUUGUUGAAAGGGAAGGGCAUUUGAUCAGACAUGGUGUUUUGUGCCCUCUGCUCCUUGUGGGUAGGGGAAUCUCGCAUUUCACUGGGCCAGCAUCAGUUUUGGUGGCAGGAUAAAUCCAUAGGAAUGUAGCUUGCCUCGGUAAGUAUUAUAGCCUGUGGGAAUACUGCCAGCUGGGACUGAGGACUGCGACGUAAGUCAAGGAUGCUGGCAUAAUGGUUAUAUGCCGCCCGUCUUGACC